UACGUAGGUGACAAGCGUUAUCCGGAAUUAUUGGGCGUAAAGCGCCCGCAGGCGGCUGUUCAAGUCUGACGUGAAAUCGCUCGGCUUAACUGGGCGGGGUCGUUGGAAACUGAAUAGCUUGAGGCAAGGAGAGGGGCGUGGAAUUCCCGGUGUAGUGGUGGAAUGCGUAGAUAUCGGGAGGAACACCAGUGGCGAAGGCGGCUACCUGGACCAGCACUGACACUGAGGCACGAAAGCGUGGGGAGCAAACAGG
RNAcentral lists this ribosomal RNA (253 nucleotides) under uncultured bacterium. RNAcentral's name for it is "partial 16S ribosomal RNA". It matches the Rfam family "Bacterial small subunit ribosomal RNA", at positions 524 to 776 of the family's 1533-position model. The record is from RNAcentral.